This 433-nucleotide ribosomal RNA is filed under the name uncultured bacterium. Its description in RNAcentral is "partial 16S ribosomal RNA". It matches the Rfam family "Bacterial small subunit ribosomal RNA", at positions 29 to 507 of the family's 1533-position model. The record is from RNAcentral.
AACGAACGCUGGCGGCAUGCCUAACACAUGCAAGUCGAACGUGACCUUCGGGUCUAGUGGCGCACGGGUGCGUAACGCGUGGGAACCUGCCCUUAGGUUCGGAAUAACUCCCCGAAAGGGGUGCUAAUACCGGAUAAUGUCUUCGGACCAAAGAUUUAUCGCCUUUGGAUGGGCCCGCGUUGGAUUAGCUAGUUGGUAGGGUAAAAGCCUACCAAGGCGACGAUCCAUAGCUGGUCUGAGAGGAUUAUCAGCCACACUGGGACUGAGACACGGCCCAGACUCCUACGGGAGGCAGCAGUGGGGAAUAUUGGACAAUGGGCGAAAGCCUGAUCCAGCAAUGCCGCGUGAGUGAUGAAGGCCUUAGGGUUGUAAAGCUCUUUUACCCGGGAUGAUAAUGACAGUACCGGGAGAAUAAGCUCCGGCUAACUCCGUG